CCUACGGGCGACAGCAGUAGGGAAUAUUGCUCAAUGGGGGAAACCCUGAAGCAGCAACGCCGCGUGGAGGAUGAAGGUUUUAGGAUUGUAAACUCCUUUUGUUAGAGAAGAUUAUGACGGUAGCUAACGAAUAAGCACCGGCUAACUCCGGGCCAGCAGCCGCGGUAAUACGGAGGGGGCAAGCGUUACUCGGAAUCACUGGGCGUAAAGAGGGCGUAGGCGGGGUAAUAAGUCAGAUGUGAAAUCCUGUGGCUUAACUACAGAACUGCAUUUGAAACUGUUACUCUGGAGUGUGGGAGAGGUAGGUGGAAUUCUUGGUGUAGGGGUACACUCCGUAGAGCUCAAGAGGAAUCCUCAUUGCGAAGGCGACCUGCUGGAACAUUACUGCCGCUGAUGCACGAAAGCGUGGGGAGCAAACAGGAUUAGAUACCCUUGUAGUC
This 440-nucleotide ribosomal RNA is filed under the name uncultured bacterium. RNAcentral's name for it is "partial 16S ribosomal RNA". It matches the Rfam family "Bacterial small subunit ribosomal RNA", at positions 338 to 795 of the family's 1533-position model. The record is from RNAcentral.